Long non-coding RNA from Tachyglossus aculeatus (Australian echidna), 359 nucleotides. RefSeq lists it as uncharacterized. The record is from RefSeq and is a predicted model, not a curated record. The transcript has 3 exons. Lineage: Eukaryota; Metazoa; Chordata; Mammalia; Monotremata; Tachyglossidae.
CUUAGGAAGAGCAGCACUGGAGUGGAAUACUGAGAGCAAUCUUCAUUGCAAAAGAAAUGUGGAAGAGUGGUCUUGGAUAGAGUCAACUUUAGGAAAAGACAGGAAAAAGGGAGAAGAGGAUGAAGAUGUUUUCUCUUGUGGUGCUCUGGAGUGGUUGUUUGCUUACACGGUUUAGGUUUGUUUUCUUCAUGUCCAGACUUUUGGGGUGAGGAGAACAUCUGAGCAACACAUUUUCCACAAAUGGGCUUCAUUCUUCAGCAUUGGUGGCUUGUGGGGAAAAGGGAGAUUUCCCCAAUGGUAAAUAUUUUUCCCCUCUUUUCAUCUAAUGAGGCUGUAAUUCAUUAAAGAGUCACCAAGCG